Molecule: non-coding RNA, 71 nt
Filed under: Escherichia coli
Lineage: Bacteria; Pseudomonadati; Pseudomonadota; Gammaproteobacteria; Enterobacterales; Enterobacteriaceae
Description: Nucleoid-associated noncoding RNA 4 (CssrE)
Rfam family: Nucleoid-associated noncoding RNA 4 (CssrE)
About the family: In E. coli small RNA transcribed from repeated extragenic palindromic element (REP325) called nucleoid-associated ncRNA 4 (nRNA4) collaborates HU protein in condensing the DNA.
Source: RNAcentral
GGCCGGAUAAGGCGUUCACGCCGCAUCCGGCAUUCAGUGCCUGAUGCUACGCUAACGCGUCUUAUCAGACC